RNAcentral lists this ribosomal RNA (164 nucleotides) under Echinops fastigiatus. RNAcentral's name for it is "5.8S ribosomal RNA". It matches the Rfam family "5.8S ribosomal RNA". From Rfam's summary of the family: 5.8S ribosomal RNA (5.8S rRNA) is a component of the large subunit of the eukaryotic ribosome. It is transcribed by RNA polymerase I as part of the 45S precursor that also contains 18S and 28S rRNA. The record is from RNAcentral. Lineage: Eukaryota; Viridiplantae; Streptophyta; Magnoliopsida; Asterales; Asteraceae.
AUAUACGACUCUCGGCAACGGAUAUCUCGGCUCACGCAUCGAUGAAGAACGUAGCAAAAUGCGAUACUUGGUGUGAAUUGCACAAUCCCGUGAACCAUCGAGUUUUUGAACGCAAGUUGCGCCCGAAGCCAUUCGCCCGAGGGCACGUCUGCCUGGGCGUCACG